This 66-nucleotide transfer RNA is filed under the name Heterocephalus glaber (naked mole-rat). It matches the Rfam family "tRNA". From Rfam's summary of the family: Transfer RNA (tRNA) molecules are approximately 80 nucleotides in length. Lineage: Eukaryota; Metazoa; Chordata; Mammalia; Rodentia; Bathyergidae. The record is from Rfam by way of RNAcentral.
AGUAUAGCUCAGGGGUAGAGUUCUUGAUUAGCAUUCAUGAAGGCCUGGGUUCAAAUUUCCAGUAUU